Paramisgurnus dabryanus is the source of this 2844-nucleotide long non-coding RNA. RefSeq lists it as uncharacterized. NCBI's taxonomy places the organism in Eukaryota, Metazoa, Chordata, Actinopteri, Cypriniformes, Cobitidae. The record is from RefSeq and is a predicted model, not a curated record.
CCGGAAGAUGAACACAAAAUCCUGGACGGGAUGCGUCCGGGAAGAAUGGCACGUAUGGUCACCCUAUAUUAUGGAAGGAACCAGUUGGAGGCCAUUUUGCAAGCUGCUGAGGAGAUUUCAUUUGAAAUCAAUGCAGCACAAUGCAACUCCACUGACAAAGCAGAAGGAAUGUCAGAGGCGAUGGAUGCAGAAGAGCUGGAAGAACAGUCCUCAGAAACAACCACUACUGUAGCUAUUGUGAUGACUGCAGAUUAAGAUGGACGCCAUUUGUGCUGUGUCUGCCGUGUCCUUUUCGAUGACAGGAAGAAGAAUGCUUCGUGUUCAUGGUCACAGUGCACAGUGUGCCAAUCAUGGUCACACACUGCAUGUCAAGACACCAUGCAAACAGCCUGUAGCGCUGCAUCAGUGAUAGGAAACAUGCUAGUUACACAAGAUGUUUUAUGUUUUAACUUUGAGUUGUUUUUAUUUUGUUCAUGACCCCAUCCCUACAAACACACACACAUAUUUUUUUUAUUUUUAUGUAUUAGGUGCAAUUUAAUAUUUUUCAUGCAAAUGUAAUUUGAUAUCGAAAAGUUGGUUUAUGUCAGAGCAGUAGUGAUACUUGUGGAUACUUUGAUAUACAACUGAACAGUACAAUUUAAAUAUAAUGGUUGCUAUGAACGAUGAUGAUGUUGUGUAUCUGCUUUAUCAAAGUGAUUUUCGUCCAUCAUACAGAUGAAGUUGAAGCAAAUCUCUAUUACCAAAUUUAAUGUUAUGAAAAGAACCAUCAUGACAGAAAUAUAUAUUAAUAUAUGAAUUGAAAGUAAUACAAAAAAAAUGAGACCAGAAACCCAUCAUGAGUUAAAAAACUGGCUAUGCUCAGUUGUAAGGACUUUUUUGAAAUGAUUAAUUUCACAUUAUGUGUCAUUUUGUGUUUUAAAUUAAAGUGACAACACAAGUUACAAAAUUUGGUGUUCCAAUAAUAAAACUGAUUGUGUUGUUUUAACACAUCUGUUUUUAAAUUGUAUUUAUUACUCUACAGUAUGCUGUAGCAUUCAUUAACAAAGUUUUAAAUAAUAUAAACUGUACACUUUACUAUAGUAUGGGUAUUUACUAUAAAUUACUUUAGUACUUUUUAUGUGGGCAGAAUUUUUAUGACUGGACUGACACACCUGAUCCACAUACAUUCACGGUAUAGUUUGCAUACUGCUCAGGCCUGUCUUUCUGCUUAGAAAGAAGGAACAUGAAACAAUACAUAGGCUUCCUAAACUGUAUUUGGCACACAUAGCUGAACUCUUUCUCAAAGUGACAGGUUUGGAAGGAGGGGAAUGGUGCUCUAAUGGAUAAACAAAAUAGGCCUGUUUGCCAUUUUUAGUUGAGCUCAAAAGAAAACAUUUAAACAAAAAUAAAUAGGCUACAAAAGAUGCAAGAGAGCAUACAUUAUGUACAUUAUGUAGCAAACAUUGUGUAUAAUGUUUGUUAAUCUGGGUUUUGACAACCAAUAGGCCUAAUAAUCAUUUACUAGCCUACAAUCGGAGAUGGCUACCCAUCAGACUAUGGUCUUAUUUAUUAAUGGGAUGUUUUUAAUUUAAUUAUCAUAGCAGCAUUAACAUAUGCAUAUAAGCCCAAACAGAAAUGCACAGUUUGUGUGUGUGGCCAACACCAGGUAUUCAUCAAGGUGUGGGGUCUGUUUACACAGCCAGAAACAAACAAACAGCUUUAUUUUAUCUAACUCUAACCUUAUUGAGCCUUCAAAGUGCUCUCUGACACUACACCUGAGAUGGCUUGUGUACUUGAAAUUAGAACAUGAAAAGUUUGUUGUAGAGCUAAGCCAAAUACAUAGUUAGAAAGGUCUUGACCUGCAGAAUAACAUAUGUCAGUAUAAAGAAUCUACAUGGCUCCUGCUUUGAAAUACGGACCUUUGAAACAUCACCUUGGUGCAUUUUUGAAGGCUUAUAAUUAGGCAAAAAAAGGGGCUAUAGACAUGGGACAAACUCUUAAUGAGAGCUCUUGGCCUCAGUUAUAAUGUCAAUAUACAGACGUGAACUUUGUCUGUUGCUUUAAGGACAAUUUCUUUAAUGUUAUGUGUGUUUGUGCAUAAUUGCGAAGUAAGUGGAUCUUAUUUGACUUCGGUAAUGACCAAACCUGUGUUCUGUUUGACUUCUCUUUCUUAUAUUUGCCAUCAUAACGUGAAUUGGUUUAUAAGCUUAAUAAUUAAUAUUUAAACGGUUUAACGUGGUAAAUUAAUUCUGUUACGCUUAUAUUUCAAGUAUGUCAUUGUCAUUUCUAUAUUUAUGUCAUUAGUGUAAUUAUAUUGUUAAACGUCUGAAUUUAAAGUGUUUUAUGUGUAAGAGUAAACAAACUCAUGCGCAUAUGCGUGUUACAUGCCAGACAGCGCACCGUUGUUAAACCACCUGCUAGCCUUUGCAAAAGUGUAUAAUGUCACUGUUCAGUGUUUAAUAUUUAAACUAUAGCAAUGCAUAUGACAUACAGUAACCAGCUUUGUUAGAUUAAUGUUAUGAAUGCAAUGUUAAUUGUUAAUCUUUAAUUAUUAAUUUUAUUUGCAAGUUAAUUGUUAUUAUCCACAAACCUUUGUUUGUGUCAGAUUUAGCUCAUCUCAAAUAAGCCUGUUAACUUUUGUUAUGCUAUUUACGUAAGGGAUAAUAUAUAGUGAGACGGUUGUUAUAGCGAAUGUUAGGUACUAUUAACCUUGUUUGUGGUGUUUUAGAUAUUAUUGUUAAUUUUGUUUAUUUGAAAAAUUUUAACAUUUAAGUGUUAUAUUUAUUAUUUUAUAUAAUAUUUUAUUUAAAUGUUAUUCUAUUUACUCUAUUUCAUUUAAAUUAUACAUAGGCUGUUGUUUGUGCC